ACUCUCAGCUCCAGGCUGUUUCUGGGGCAAGCAAAGUUGCUGCAUUUAUUUCCUGCUGCUUUUUUUUUUAUCCACUUUUACCCUGUUUUUGUUUAUCCAAAUGUUCACCUUGCAGCAGCUUUAGGUCUGCUUGCUUGGCACAGGGGAUGCUCCAGCAGACUGCCAUGGCCUCUAAAGAUUGUUGUGAAAUGAAAGGGAGAGACAACACGUGGAGCUACAUGUAGAAGGAGAGCAAACAGUGGCCGUGACACAGGUUACAUCAAAGUAGAUAGCAGAAGCCAGACAAACCUGACUUUCCCAUUAGAAUUUUUGGUCUGGUUCAGAGCUUUGUUAGGGGAACAAGCUGCCACAUGUCAACUUUUCUUGCUAUUGGAAGAUGCGAGUCAGCUCGCUCCUUUCUCACUGAUGGAUACUGUAUGGGAGAAAGGACAUUAACUCUACAAAGAGAGACAGUUGCACUAAUUCAGAGGAUGGGUGUAGGUGUAUCUGUUGGCAGCUGUGCUUCUCUCCGUGUUUAUGUGAAUAAAGGUUCCCUCUCCAGAAGAAGUCUUCUUUAG
Molecule: long non-coding RNA, 557 nt
Filed under: Apteryx owenii (little spotted kiwi)
Lineage: Eukaryota; Metazoa; Chordata; Aves; Apterygiformes; Apterygidae
Description: lncRNA (ENSAOWG00000009021.1)
Source: RNAcentral